RNAcentral lists this long non-coding RNA (262 nucleotides) under Elaeis guineensis (African oil palm). Its description in RNAcentral is "long non-coding RNA (EGUI_LNC052815)". Lineage: Eukaryota; Viridiplantae; Streptophyta; Magnoliopsida; Arecales; Arecaceae. The record is from RNAcentral.
ACUUACCUGGUCAAUUUGGUGAAUUAUAUCUUGAUUAGACCACUAAAUAAUUCAAGUUGACCCAUACCAUUAAGAUUGAUCAGUAUGACUGAUUUAGGUGCUAGUUCAACUAGCUUGACCUUAAUCUAAUUCAAUGACUUGGUAAAGUCAGUGGAAGGAUUAUGGUUUACUGGUUGAUCUCUUCUCAUCUCUUCUCUAAAUUGAUUAAAAUUCUCUAAAUUAUUAGAUCCUUAAAAUGAGCUAGUUAUGGGGAUAACUAGAU